UACGUAGGGUGCAAGCGUUAUCCGGAAUUAUUGGGCGUAAAGAGCUCGUAGGCGGUUUGUCGCGUCUGCUGUGAAAACUGGAGGCUCAACCUCCAGCCUGCAGUGGGUACGGGCAGACUAGAGUGCGGUAGGGGAGAUUGGAAUUCCUGGUGUAGCGGUGGAAUGCGCAGAUAUCAGGAGGAACACCGAUGGCGAAGGCAGAUCUCUGGGCCGUAACUGACGCUGAGGAGCGAAAGCAUGGGGAGCGAACAGGAUUAGAUACCCUGGUAGUCCAUGCCGUAAACGUUGGGAACUAGAUGUAGGGACCAUUCCACGGUUUCUGUGUCGCAGCUAACGCAUUAAGUUCCCCGCCUGGGGAGUACGGCCGCAAGGCUAAA
RNAcentral lists this ribosomal RNA (377 nucleotides) under uncultured bacterium. Its description in RNAcentral is "bacterial SSU rRNA". It matches the Rfam family "Bacterial small subunit ribosomal RNA", at positions 524 to 898 of the family's 1533-position model. The record is from RNAcentral.